UAGGGAAUCUUCGGCAAUGGACGAAAGUCUGACCGAGCAACGCCGCGUGAGUGAAGAAGGUUUUCGGAUCGUAAAACUCUGUUGGUAGAGAAGAACGUUGGUGAGAGUGGAAAGCUCAUCAAGUGACGGUAACUACCCAGAAAGGGACGGCUAACUACGNGCCAG
This 165-nucleotide ribosomal RNA is filed under the name uncultured bacterium. RNAcentral describes it as "partial 16S ribosomal RNA". It matches the Rfam family "Bacterial small subunit ribosomal RNA", at positions 355 to 511 of the family's 1533-position model. The record is from RNAcentral.